CAAAAAAAAAAAAAAAAAAAAGAAGAUAGAGUUGAUCCGAUCCGGUAGUAGGCAAGCGAUGGGGUGACGCAGGAGGGUAGUCCCGCCAGUGAAUGGUAGUACUGGUGUAAGCCCGUAGCCCGACAUCUAGGCAAAUCCGGAUGUCAUCAGGGUGAGAGGUGACGCGUAGCCGAUUGAGGCGAAGUAGGAUGAUCCCAAGCUGCCGAGAAAAGCCUCUAGCGAGUGCUGUUGUGGCCCGUACCCUAAACCGCCACAGGUGGUCAGGUAGAGAAUACCAAGGGAUCGAGUGAACUGUGGUUAAGGAACUCGGCAAAAUACCUCCGUAACUUCGGGAGAAGGAGGGCCGUCUGGUUUGAAGCCCUUCGCGGGCUAGGGCUGGGCGGCCGCAGAGACCAGGCCCAAGCGACUGUUUACUAAAAACACAGGUCCGUGCGAAGUCGCAAGACGAUGUAUACGGACUGACGCCUGCCCGGUGCUGGAACGUUAAGAGGACCUGUUAGUCCCUUCGGGGGCGAAGCGGAGAAUUUAAGCGCCAGUAAACGGCGGUGGUAACUAUAACCAUCCUAAGGUAGCGAAAUUCCUUGUCGGGUAAGUUCCGACCUGCACGAAUGGCGUAACGACUUGGGCGCUGUCUCGACCACAGACUCGGCGAAAUUGCACUACGAGUAAAGAUGCUCGUUACGCGCGGCAGGACGGAAAGACCCCGGGACCUUUACUAUAGCUUGGUAUUGGUGCUCGGUUCGGCUUGUGUAGGAUAGGUGGGAGACUGUGAAGCGGCCACCAGUGGUUGUGGAGUCAUUGUUGAAAUACCACUCUGGUCGAAUUGGGUGUCUCAACCUCGGGCCAUGAUCUGGUUCAGGGACAGUGCCUGGUGGGUAGUUUAACUGGGGCGGUCGCCUCCCAAAAUGUAACGGAGGCGCCCAAAGGUUCCCUCAGCCUGGUUGGCAAUCAGGUGUUGAGUGUAAGUGCACAAGGGAGCUUGACUGUGAGACUGACAGGUCGAGCAGGGACGAAAGUCGGGACUAGUGAUCCGGCACCACCUGGUGGAAGGGGUGUCGCUCAACGGAUAAAAGGUACCCCGGGGAUAACAGGCUGAUCUUGCCCAAGAGUCCAUAUCGACGGCAUGGUUUGGCACCUCGAUGUCGGCUCGUCGCACCCUGGGGCUGGAGUAGGUCCCAAGGGUUGGGCUGUUCGCCCAUUAAAGCGGUACGCGAGCUGGGUUUAGAACGUCGUGAGACAGUUCGGUCCCUAUCCGCCGCGCGCGCAGGAGACUUGAGGAAGGCUGUCCCUAGUACGAGAGGACCGGGACGGACGAACCUCUGGUGUGCCAGUUGUCCCGCCAGGGGCACGGCUGGUUGGCUAUGUUCGGAAGGGAUAACCGCUGAAGGCAUCUAAGCGGGAAGCUCGUUCCAAGAUGAGGUCUCCCACCACCUUGCGUGGUUAAGGCCCCCAGCAGACCACUGGGUUGAUAGGCCAGAGAUGGAAGCCCUGUGAGGGGUGGAGUUGACUGGUACUAAUAGGCCGAGGGCUUG
This 1532-nucleotide ribosomal RNA is filed under the name metagenome. Its description in RNAcentral is "bacterial LSU rRNA". It matches the Rfam family "Bacterial large subunit ribosomal RNA", at positions 1404 to 2925 of the family's 2925-position model. The record is from RNAcentral.